RNAcentral lists this ribosomal RNA (253 nucleotides) under uncultured bacterium. RNAcentral's name for it is "partial 16S ribosomal RNA". It matches the Rfam family "Bacterial small subunit ribosomal RNA", at positions 524 to 776 of the family's 1533-position model. The record is from RNAcentral.
UACGUAGGGUGCGAGCGUUGUCCGGAAUUACUGGGCGUAAAGAGCUCGUAGGUGGUUUGUCGCGUUGUUCGUGAAAUCUCACGGCUUAACUGUGAGCGUGCGGGCGAUACGGGCAGACUAGAGUACUGCAGGGGAGACUGGAAUUCCUGGUGUAGCGGUGGAAUGCGCAGAUAUCAGGAGGAACACCGAUGGCGAAGGCAGAUCUCUGGGCCGUAACUGACGCUGAGGAGCGAAAGCUAGGGGAGCAAACAGG